UCGAGAAUCUUCGGCAAUGGGCGCAAGCCUGACCGAGCGACGCCGCGUGUGGGAUGAAGGCCCUUGGGUUGUAAACCACUGUCAGAGGGGAUGAAAUGCACAAGAGCAAUCUCUUGUGUUUGACAUAGCCUCAGAGGAAGCACGGGCUAAGUUCGUGCCAGCAGCCGCGGUAAUACGAACUGUGCGAACGUUAUUCGGAAUCACUGGGCUUACAGGGUGCGUAGGCGGCUUGUUAAGUAGGGUGUGAAAGCCCCCGGCUCAACCGGGGAAUGGCGCCCUAAACUGGCGAGCUAGAGUGAGAUAGGGGUGUGUGGAACUUCCGGUGGAGCGGUGAAAUGUGUUGAUAUCGGAAGGAACGCCGGUGGCGAAAGCGACACACUGGAUCUUGUCUGACGCUGAGGCACGAAAGCCAGGGGAGCGAACG
RNAcentral lists this ribosomal RNA (424 nucleotides) under uncultured Planctomyces sp. Its description in RNAcentral is "bacterial SSU rRNA". It matches the Rfam family "Bacterial small subunit ribosomal RNA", at positions 355 to 774 of the family's 1533-position model. The record is from RNAcentral. Lineage: Bacteria; Pseudomonadati; Planctomycetota; Planctomycetia; Planctomycetales; Planctomycetaceae.